GAGGGGUUCGGGCUUGUCAGGUUCUAGCUCAUGUUUUUUGGCUAGACCUAUGACCAUUUUCGCUAGACUUCACUGCACGUUUUCUCAAGUAUCUUCUUCGUCCCUAAUGUGUGAACCUCAUCAUGGACACGCUACUUUAGCUAAGGCAUGACCAGCAAUGAACAGUAGUAAGAGAUGGGGUUGCGCUUUGUUGCCCAGGCUGAUCUUGAACUCCUGGGCUCAAGCAAUAUGCCUGCUUUGGCCUCCCAGAGUGCUGGGAUUACAGAUAUGUGCUGAUUAGAAGGCUCACUUGUGCAGUGUGGAGGAUAACCAGUGCCUUACAAAAUGGGGUUUGGGAGUGACCUGAAGAAUUCACAUGAAGCAGUGUUAAAAUUGCAAGACUGGGAAUUACGGUUACUGGAAACAGUAAAGAAAUUUAUGGCCCUGAGAAUAAAAAGUGAUAAAGAAUAUGCAUCUACUUUACAGAACCUUUGUAAUCAAGUUGAUAAGGAAAGUACUGUCCAAAUGAAUUAUGUCAGCAACGUAUCCAAGUCUUGGCUACUUAUGAUUCAGCAGACAGAACAACUUAGUAGGAUAAUGAAGACACAUGCAGAGGACUUGAACUCUGGACCUUUACACAGGCUCACCAUGAUGAUUAAGGACAAGCAGCAGGUGAAGAAAAGUUACAUAGGUGUUCAUCAGCAGAUAGAGGCAGAGAUGAUCAAGGUUACCAAAACAGAAUUGGAGAAGUUAAAAUGCAGCUAUAGACAAUUAAUAAAAGAAAUGAAUUCUGCCAAAGAGAAAUAUAAAGAAGCUUUAGCUAAAGUGAAGAAGUGAUGGAUGGUUGUGGGAAUAAAUUAUGUUGUUGGAAUUUUUCCACAAAAAUUAUAUAAAAAUAAAGAAUGUCACCAUAAGAAAUGAAAGAAAACUAGACGUUGGCAUAGGCAAGUAUUUCAUGACCAAAAACUCAAAAGCAAAUACAAUAAAAACAAAGAUAAAUAGCUGGGACCUAAUUAAACUAAAGAGCUUUUGCACAGCAAAAGGAACAGUCAGCAGAGUAAACAGAGUGGGAGGAAAUCUUCACAAUCUAUACACCUAACAAAGGACUAAAAUCCAGAAUCUACAACGAAUCAGUAAGAAAAAAAACUAACAAUCUCAUCAAAAAGUGGGCUAAGCACAUGAAUAGACAAUUCUCAAAAGAAGGUAUACAAAUAGGUAACAAACCUAUGAAAAAAUGCUCAGCAUCACUAAUUUUCAGGGAAAUGCAAAUCAAAACCACAAUGUGAUACCUCCUUACUCCUGCAAGAAUGGCCAUAAUACAAAAACAAAACAAAACAGAACAAAACAAUAGAUGUUGGCGUGGAUACGGAAAUCAGGGAACACUUCUACACGGCUGGUGGGAAUGUAAAAUAGUACAGCCACUAUGGAAAACAGAGUGGAGAUUCCUUAAAGAGCUAAAAGUAGAACUACCAUUUGAUCCAGCAAUCCCACUACUGGGUAUCCACCCAGAGGAAAAGAAGUCAUAUGAAAAAGAUACAUGCACAUGCAUGUUUAUAGCAGCACAAUUCACAAUUGCAAAAUCGUGGAACCAACCCAAAU
RNAcentral lists this small RNA (1578 nucleotides) under Pan troglodytes (chimpanzee). Its description in RNAcentral is "processed transcript". Lineage: Eukaryota; Metazoa; Chordata; Mammalia; Primates; Hominidae. The record is from RNAcentral.